CCCUAAGUUAUCACUAAGUGGGAAACGAUGUGGGAAUGCUUAGACAACCAGGAGGUUGGCUUAGAAGCAGCCAUCCUUUAAAGAAAGCGUAACAGCUCACUGGUCUAAAUAAGCCGUCCUGCGCCGAAGAUGUAUCGGGGCUAAAGUCGUGCACCGAAGCUGAGGACUUCAUCUUAUGAUGGAGUGGUAGCGGAGCGUUCCGUAAGCCUGCGAAGGUGCACCGCGAGGUGUGCUGGAGGUAUCGGAAGUGAGAAUGCUGACAUGAGUAGCGACAAAGAGGGUGAGAGACCCUCUCGCCGAAAGUCCAAGGUUUCCUGCGCAAUGCUAAUCAGCGCAGGGUUAGUCGGCCCCUAAGGCGAGGCAGAAAUGCGUAGUCGAUGGGAAGCAGGUUAAUAUUCCUGCACCAGUGGGUAGUGACGGAUCUCGUGUGUCGUCAGUCCUUAUCGGAUUGAACUGGCGGCGAAGAGGUCCCUGGAAAUAGCUCCCACAUUAGACCGUACCCCAAACCGACACAGGUGGACUGGUAGAGCAUACCAAGGCGCUUGAGAGAACUCUGCUGAAGGAACUAGGCAAAAUGG
This 578-nucleotide ribosomal RNA is filed under the name Oxyrrhis marina. RNAcentral describes it as "partial Bacterial large subunit ribosomal RNA". It matches the Rfam family "Bacterial large subunit ribosomal RNA", at positions 1046 to 1725 of the family's 2925-position model. The record is from RNAcentral. Lineage: Eukaryota; Dinophyceae; Oxyrrhinales; Oxyrrhinaceae.